ACGAACGCUGGCGGCGUGCUUAACACAUGCAAGUCGAACGGAAAGGCCCUGCUUUUGUGGGGUGCUCGAGUGGCGAACGGGUGAGUAACACGUGAGUAACCUGCCCUUGACUUUGGGAUAACUUCAGGAAACUGGGGCUAAUACCGGAUAGGAGCUCCUGCUGCAUGGUGGGGGUUGGAAAGUUUCGGCGGUUGGGGAUGGACUCGCGGUUUAUCAGCUUGUUGGUGGGGUAGUGGCUUACCAAGGCUUUGACGGGUAGCCGGCCUGAGAGGGUGACCGGCCACAUUGGGACUGAGAUACGGCCCAGACUCCUACGGGAGGCAGCAGUGGGGAAUAUUGCACAAUGGGCGGAAGCCUGAUGCAGCAACGCCGCGUGCGGGAUGACGGCCUUCGGGUUGUAAACCGCUUUCGCCUGUGACGAAGCGUGAGUGACGGUAAUGGGUAAAGAAGCACCGGCUAACUACGUG
Molecule: ribosomal RNA, 467 nt
Filed under: uncultured bacterium
Lineage: Bacteria
Description: partial 16S ribosomal RNA
Rfam family: Bacterial small subunit ribosomal RNA
Source: RNAcentral